RNAcentral lists this ribosomal RNA (556 nucleotides) under uncultured bacterium. RNAcentral's name for it is "bacterial SSU rRNA". It matches the Rfam family "Bacterial small subunit ribosomal RNA", at positions 230 to 803 of the family's 1533-position model. The record is from RNAcentral.
CUCGCGUCCGAUUAGCUAGUUGGUGAGGUAACGGCCCACCAAGGCAACGAUCGGUAGCCGGACUGAGAGGUUGAACGGCCACAUUGGGACUGAGACACGGCCCAGACUCCUACGGGAGGCAGCAGUGGGGAAUAUUGCACAAUGGGGGAAACCCUGAUGCAGCGACGCCGCGUGGAGGAAGAAGGUCUUCGGAUUGUAAACUCCUGUUGUUGAGGAAGAUAAUGACGGUACUCAACAAGGAAGUGACGGCUAACUACGUGCCAGCAGCCGCGGUAAAACGUAGGUCACAAGCGUUGUCCGGAAUUACUGGGUGUAAAGGGAGCGCAGGCGGGAAGACAAGUUGGAAGUGAAAUCCAUGGGCUCAACCCAUGAACUGCUUUCAAAACUGUUUUUCUUGAGUAGUGCAGAGGUAGGCGGAAUUCCCGGUGUAGCGGUGGAAUGCGUAGAUAUCGGGAGGAACACCAGUGGCGAAGGCGGCCUACUGGGCACCAACUGACGCUGAGGCUCGAAAGUGUGGGUAGCAAACAGGAUUAGAUACCCUGGUAGUCCACACCGU